AGAAUCAACGCUGGCGGCGUGCCUAACACAUGCAAGUCGCACGAGAAAGGGACUUCGGUCCUGAGUACAGUGGCGCACGGGUGAGUAACACGUGAAUAAUCUACCUCCGAGUGGGGAAUAACUGAGAGAAAUCUUAGCUAAUACCGCAUAACACUUACGAGUCAAAGCAGCAAUGCGCUUGGAGAGGAGUUCGCGGCAGAUUAGUUAGUUGGCGGGGUAAUGGCCCACCAAGACGAUGAUCUGUAUCCGGCCUGAGAGGGCGCACGGACACACUGGAACUGAAACACGGUCCAGACUCCUACGGGAGGCAGCAGUGGGGAAUUUUGCGCAAUGGGGGAAACCCUGACGCAGCAACGCCGCGUGGAGGAUGAAAUCCCUUGGGAUGUAAACUCCUUUCGAUCGGGAAGAUAAUGACGGUACCGAGAGAAGAAGCCCGGCUAACUUCGUGCCAGCAGCCGC
RNAcentral lists this ribosomal RNA (459 nucleotides) under uncultured bacterium. Its description in RNAcentral is "SSU rRNA". It matches the Rfam family "Bacterial small subunit ribosomal RNA", at positions 26 to 518 of the family's 1533-position model. The record is from RNAcentral.